UUUAUUUUUAAUAUUAAAGAGCUUUGUUAAACUUAGACUUAAGUUUAGGUCAUUUUGGGGGUUUAGCUCAGUUGGCUAGAGCAUCGGCUUUGCAAGCCGAGGGUCAAGGGUUCGAGUCCCUUAACCUCCAUUGGGCUUAUGUCCUAAAUCGUAAUUAAGUAUGUUUUUAAGUAACUUUGUUAAAGUAAUUGUUGGAACGUGAAACAGAGGAAGUUAAAAUUUCUGGGUUAAGUUGAGAUCUGUUGAUAUUAAGAAGAAUCUMUAGAAGCAAAAGCAAGCUUUCGAUAAAACCCGAAGUUGUUUCGCUAAAGUGCAAGGAUUAAACAGGAUUGUAUUUUCCAGUAGCCUAUUUUAUAAAUGAUCUGCAUUUAGUAAAUAGUUUUUAGUUAAGAAAUAAUGUAGAUUGSUAAGUGUGAUGCMUGAAAGAAGGACAAGUAUKGUAGCGAGCMUAAAUCCUUGU
This 460-nucleotide unclassified non-coding RNA is filed under the name Borreliella burgdorferi (Lyme disease spirochete). RNAcentral describes it as "partial 16S-23S ribosomal RNA intergenic spacer". Lineage: Bacteria; Pseudomonadati; Spirochaetota; Spirochaetia; Spirochaetales; Borreliaceae. The record is from RNAcentral.